AAAUACGAUCAUACCAGCACUAAUACACCGAAUCCCAUCAGAACUCCGCAGUUAAGCGUACUUAAACGAAAAUAAUACUAAAAUAAAUAACCUCCUGAAAAAUCCUCGUAUUACACCUC
This 119-nucleotide ribosomal RNA is filed under the name Enterococcus hirae. Lineage: Bacteria; Bacillati; Bacillota; Bacilli; Lactobacillales; Enterococcaceae. The record is from RNAcentral.